Molecule: transfer RNA, 64 nt
Filed under: Nuttallia olivacea
Lineage: Eukaryota; Metazoa; Mollusca; Bivalvia; Cardiida; Psammobiidae
Description: tRNA-Pro
Source: RNAcentral
CAGGUUGUAGUUUAUAAAAAAUUAAAGCUUUGGGAGCGUUAGAUCUCGUGUUCGGGUAACCUGA